Molecule: long non-coding RNA, 472 nt
Organism: Parus major (Great Tit)
Lineage: Eukaryota; Metazoa; Chordata; Aves; Passeriformes; Paridae
Exons: 5
Source: RefSeq, a predicted model, not a curated record
GUAUAUAACCCUGCAUCACCUGAGGUUUUCCCACUACAUUGGCUGGAUAUGAUGAAGAAAAAGCUUCAAAGUCAUGAAAACUAGGGAGACACAGCAUCACACCUGAAUUUUUAUCAUAAUUGGUUGGUCAUCUGAAAUGGGCCCAGCAGCUGAUGAACCGUGCCAGGGUUUAGUUCUUCAGCACUGGAUGGUGCAGGAAUCCAAAGGCCUGAAUCCAAGUCUGGUUUGAACAGGUUCCAAUGAAUCCAAAAUGAUGAAACUGAGACUUGAAAUCUGAGCAUGUUGAUGGACAAAGGCACAAGUCUAAAAUGACCAGGCAGCCAGUUGUCACAUGUCACUACUAAGCCAAAGAUCUAUACCACAAUCAUUUCUCCACUCAUGACAGAACCUGAGUGCCCUUCCCUCCGCUCUAACAAAGAUGUUCAGCGAGCUGGAGAUUUCGCCUGCCGGGCAGAGCUGGAGACCCAGAGCA